GCCUUUAUCUUUUAGUUUUUAAGAUCAUUUCUCUCCCUCCUUUCCCCCCAGUUUUCUCAACAUUUAUGAGUUAGUUCUGCUGAGAACAACAUACUUCAGAACAUGUCAGGAUAGGGCAGUUUUUUCUUGUUUUUCUUUUUUCUUUUUUUGAGACAGUCUUGCUCUGUUGCCCAGGCUGAGGCAGGAGAAUCGCUUGAACCUGGGAGGCAGAGGUUGCAGUGAGCCGAGAUCGCACCACUGAAUUCCAGCCUGGGCGACAGAGUGAGUCUGUUUUUUUUUUGUUUUUUUUUAAAGUCAACACAAAUAUUGAAAAUAAGCAACUUCAGUGCACAAAUAAGCUCAAAAUCACUAGUGAGUGAUCUAUUUUUUGCCAAUAAGAAGUACCAUUUGUACAUGACUUAAAGUGCCUUCCACCAAGAAAAUUAUUGAAAACUGUUGGGUCACAUAACAUUCCUACACUUUGGAUACAGAGUAUUUAGUUUUAUACAAAAUUAAGACAACAAGAAACCUAGGAUGUCCAAACAUUCAUUUCAUUUAUUUUACUGCAUUUAUUUAUGCAGUGAAAAUUGAAAGAUACACCAAAUUAAAGAUAAAAC
This is a long non-coding RNA of Homo sapiens (human), 596 nucleotides long. The record is from Ensembl. Lineage: Eukaryota; Metazoa; Chordata; Mammalia; Primates; Hominidae.